RNAcentral lists this ribosomal RNA (254 nucleotides) under uncultured bacterium. RNAcentral's name for it is "partial 16S ribosomal RNA". It matches the Rfam family "Bacterial small subunit ribosomal RNA", at positions 524 to 776 of the family's 1533-position model. The record is from RNAcentral.
UACGAAGGGGGCUAGCGUUGCUCGGAAUCACUGGGCGUAAAGCGCACGUAGGCGGAUUGCUAAGUCAGGGGUGAAAUCCUGGAGCUCAACUCCAGAACUGCCUUUGAUACUGGCGAUCUCGAGUCCGGGAGAGGUGAGUGGAACUCCGAGUGUAGAGGUGAAAUUCGUAGAUAUUCGGAAGAACACCAGUGGCGAAGGCGGCUCACUGGCCCGGUACUGACGCUGAGGGUGCGAAAGCGUGGGGAGCAAACAGG